UUGAUUUUAUAAAACACAGCAUUAAAUCUCCUUGAUUAUCUGGUGGCGUGUACUCCCUGAAGUGGUGUGCAAUUGUUCCUGCAACCCUCUGAUCCAGUCUUGUUCUUGCUGAGAGUUGUUUUGGUGGCCAGGAGUGUAUCAAAGAUGUGGCUGAAAGAAGGAGGUGAGUGCAGUAAGGAGGAGACCUGGGGUUCCGCCCUACCCUGCAGGGAAAUCCAAAAGGCCUGCAUUGCUCUAGAGUCUGCACGGACCUGAAGCUGCUUAAACCUUCUCUGAGCUCCAGCUGCUGCCUGGGACCCAGGGGGGCCUGGUGUGUGCCGGGCUGUGCGAGCUGCCCACUGCGUCCACUAGAUGGCGGGCUGGCCGCGCAGGUGAAUGGCCGCGCCUCCCUGUGAGCCAUUCUAGCUUUUAAGGCUCACUUGCCAGUGGCUGGCGUUAAGGCACCUCUUGGAGAAGACCCGGGCCCAGACAGGUGAAGUGACAUACCCGUUAUCCUUUACUACCUAAGUGAUAUUGGCUGUUAUACUCGACAUAUCCAAACUCUCCUUUGAUCAUUUGGUCUCUGUUUUAGAGGUAUCUUUUGAAAGCCUGGUGAAAGCUAUAAGACCCUCUCCUUGGGAAAGUUCGAAAAUAAUUUCAGGAGCUUCAAGAACACUCCAGAAAUAGACCCAGAACCUGUCUGACAUGUCCAUAGACUACAAAUUCCAUUUGGAGUUUAUUUUUAACUCCUAACUUUCUGUUCCUGAAAUGGAUCUAACCAUGUUCACUCUGAAAUUUUUUAAAAUUGAGCACCUACUAUGUUCUAGGCACUGUUCUGGGUGCCAGAGAUAUUUGUCUUUGGGGAGAUUUAGUUCUAGAGAGGGAAAGCAAGUAAUAAAAAUGGACAAAAUUAGUGUUGUCAGCAUUAACACUGUUCUCUAAAUAUUUCCAGUUCUCCUUCCCUUUCUGGUCCAUGGUAGGAUCUUACUUCCAGCUCCUCAUAUGGUUGGGUGAAACCAGGUGACCAGUUCUGACUAAUGAAUCAUGAGAAGCCAUGUGUUACUUGGGCAUGAGCAUCUAAUUGCUGUCGCGAGGCCCUCCAGAACUUUCCCUCAUACCUGACAUGGAAACAGGAAAUAUUUAAGAAGGGGUUCAUUUAAUCAGCCCAGGUCCCUGAGACCUAGCAUGAGUGAGAAAUAUUAGAUGUUCCUCCACUUACAAAGGAGGAACCCUCCUCUCACAAAUUGAAAGUACCAUAAAUUGAAAAUGCAUUUAAUCUACCUGACCCACCAAACAUCACAGCUUAACAACAAUAGCACAUCAUGAUGUCAAAUGUUUUCCUAUGUGACUGGGAGCUAUGGCUCACUGCCACUGCCCAGCAUCAUAAAAGAGUGUUGAACCAACUAUCAUGAGGCCUGGGAAAAGAUCAACAUUUGAAGUACAGUUUGUACUGAAUGCUUGUCACUUUUGUACUAGGCAAAAGUCAAAGACAUUGUAAGUUGGGGACCAUCUUUGCUUUUUAAAGUCACUGAGAUUUUUGGGAGAUGUUUGUUACUGUAGCAUAACCUGGCCUGUUCUGACUGAUAAGAUAAUAAAUAAAUAAUAGAACAUGAUUAUAAAGAUUGCUAGAAGGAGAUCAAAGCAGCAGAAAAAAGACACAGUUGAGGAGGAUAAAUGGUCCUGGAAGUGUGAGGAAGUGGAUGGAUGGGGAGGAAGAUGGAACCUUUUAAACAGAGCCAUUAAGGUAGCUUCACUGAGAAAGUGAUCCCUGAAAAGAAAAUGAGCUCUGCAGGGAUCUGGGGCAAAGAGCGUCCCAGCCAGGGCGAGAGCCAGGGCAAAGGUCGGAUGUUUCUGAUGUGUCCAGAAAACAGCCAAGAGGUUGGUGUGGCUGGAGCAGAUGAGGGCUGAGGUCAGAGAAGUAAAGGGGCCAUUUCUUGUGUAGCCUCGUGGCCACAUAAGGACAUCGUUGUCAUGUUCUCUGAGUGACAUGGGGGGACCCAUGGUGGGGCUUCGAGCCCAAACAUGACUUGAUAUGACUGACAUUUUUGAAGGACCCCCGUGGCACCUGAUUGAGACUAGGCGUGGUGGGGGGAGCAGCGUGGGAGUGGGGAGCCGAGGGACAGUUACCGUGCUGGGCGGAGGUGGGCUGGAGGCUGUUGGAUGUACGACUGGAGUUGGGAGAAUAUGAAUUUGGGAGUCACUGGUGGAAAGAAGGUAGCAAAAGUUCAACGUUUUAAAAACACUGUUGGUUAUAAAAAAGAACAUUGCAGUGCAGCGUUAUACACAGCUGGACCCUUAGGACUAGAGAUGAAUAUUGUGGAAAGCGAUGCGGUUACCCCUGUGAGGAACUCUGAUGGUGUCAGGGAGCCACCGUGUUCCCUUUGCUUUAGGAAAAUCAAGGACAUUCAUUGUCUUUUCUAUCAUGCAAUGAUCCCUCUGGGCUAAGAUUUUUUGAGCUAAAGCCUUAGAACAGUGGUUUUCCCCAAGAAAUGGACACAUUUCCUAUUUCCUGGAAAGAUAAAUUGUGAAAAAAAUUCUGUGUCCCUUUUCUCUUCAGGUGCCAAGGAGCUCAGAUACCAAUCGGAAACUAUAAUACCUUUGUUUUUAUUUUCCUUCAUUCCAACUUCCACUUUCAACUCUUGAUUUUAGUAUUUCGAUGUUUUAUUUAUUUAUUUAUUUAUUUUGGAGACAGGUCUUGCUAUGUUGCAUAGGCUGUCCUUGAACUGGACUCAAGAGAUCCUCCUCCCUCAGCCUUCUGAGUUAACUGGGACCUCAGGUGCACAUCACUGUGUUAGUUUACCUAGUAUGUUCUUGCUGUAAAUUCUCUCAAAUUCCAUGUGGAAGGAGGCAGGUAUACUGGGGAAAAAAAGAAUCAGAACUGAACAAAGUUACUUUUUAAUGACAAUACAACUCAUUUGUAAGUAAAAAGAUAUUGAAAAAUGGUCUCUAAAGUAAUUUUCUCUAGUCAGUAUCCUACUCCAGCUGACUUUCAUUAUGAAAUUGAAGAUGGGUCCCUCAAGGAAAAAUAAUUCUAGGCCUGAAAAAUUAUAUUAAAAAAAUCACACUUUAAAAUUGCAGCAUAUAUGAAAAUUCACAUAUUUUAAAGGAACUAAGCAGCCCAGCAUAAGAUACAGAGAAUAAUAUGCAAAAGAAGUCACAAAACACAAAUGUAAAAUAAACUAUGUGGCAUUGUCUUUAUGUCCUGGAGCGAUGAUUUAAAGCUCAGAAAAAGGAGGUGCAUUUUCCUGUUUGGACAGGCUGCUCUUUGAGUUUCGGUGGCUCACCUUUUUCUGGAAUCCUCUGGAGCCAAUCUCUAAGACCCCACGAAGCCUUCUUGACUUUACCACAUCCCCUUCAGCCGCUGUUUUAUUAAUCUGUCAAUAUUGGAUGUUCAAAUCAAUUCCUUGUUUAAACUUCAAUUGAUUUAAAGAAGGAAGCGGUGUAAAUAAUACAUAGCAUAUGUAAAUUCAUGGAUCUUCUGUUUUCCUAAUGCACAUUCAAAUCAAUUCAUAAGCCUUAAAAUAAAAAGUGGUGCGGUGUGUUCCCCUGAAAUGAUCUAUUUCACCCCAUGCUGAUCACACAGCGGGGUAGGGAGAGGCAGGCUCUGUCCUGGAGGGUAAAUGUACCCAGUCCUUGGAAGUAGCCAGUGGACCUUCAAACCAACUAAAUUAACUCGGCUGAUGAACUAGAUGGACUGAGAGGCGGGUCCAGCAUGUUCUCCAUGUAAGUCAGCAGAGAGUGGAGCACCCCCCUGCCCCACCCCAGUUUGGGGUUGGGGACAUCUUGCUGCAAUGUGGUCUCUGUUAGCAUCUAGCUCACCUCUGAUUCCUGUUUGUCAUGGUGCUGGCCCAUUUUGACAAGCUGUAGAAAUGAUGGGGGGUAUUUGGUCUCCAGUAGUGAAUCUUAAACUUGCCAUUUAUAUAUUUUUUGGAACCAGGAAUUGAACUCAGGGGUACUUCACCACUGAGCCACAUCCCAGCUCCUCCCCC
This 3968-nucleotide long non-coding RNA is filed under the name Marmota monax (woodchuck). Lineage: Eukaryota; Metazoa; Chordata; Mammalia; Rodentia; Sciuridae. The record is from RNAcentral.